GGAAGGUCCGGGCGUUAUCCGGAUUUAUUGGGUUUAAAGGGAGCGUAGGCCGGAGAUUAAGCGUGUUGUGAAAUGUAGACGCUCAACGUCUGAACUGCAGCGCGAACUGGUUUCCUUGAGUACGCACAAAGUGGGCGGAAUUCGUGGUGUAGCGGUGAAAUGCUUAGAUAUCACGAAGAACUCCGAUUGCGAAGGCAGCUCACUGGAGCGCAACUGACGCUGAAGCUCGAAAGUGCGGGUAUCAAACAGGAUUAGAUACCCUGGUAGUCCACACAGUAAACGAUGAAUACUCGCUGUUUGCGAUAUACAGUAAGCGGCCAAGCGAAAGCGUUAAGUAUUCCACCUGGGGAGU
This 352-nucleotide ribosomal RNA is filed under the name uncultured bacterium. Its description in RNAcentral is "bacterial SSU rRNA". It matches the Rfam family "Bacterial small subunit ribosomal RNA", at positions 527 to 881 of the family's 1533-position model. The record is from RNAcentral.